UAAACUUCACCUACUACCACUAACAAACUUAGUAACUUGAGCUAAUUAACUUGUACAAAUCAACAAAGCUGAUUAAUCAGCUCAAUCACCAUCAAUUUUACAUCAAAUAUAAACCUAACAUAGUUGAAAUACAACUAAGUUACAUUGCAUUAACUUAAAAAUACAAAAUAAGUGAAAACACAGCUUGCUGGCUUGAUGAACUUGCAGCUUCUGCAUGUAGUGCCCUCGACAGUCUUGGUUGCUGCAUGCUGA
Molecule: long non-coding RNA, 252 nt
Filed under: Gossypium barbadense (sea-island cotton)
Lineage: Eukaryota; Viridiplantae; Streptophyta; Magnoliopsida; Malvales; Malvaceae
Description: long non-coding RNA (GBAR_LNC003195)
Source: RNAcentral